UUGGAGGGCACGUCUGGUGCCAGCAGCCGCGGUAAUUCCAGCUCCAAUAGCGUAUAUUAAAGUUGUUGCAGUUAAAAAGCUCGUAGUUGAAUUUUGGGUCUGGCCGGGCGGUCCGCCCUCCGGGUGAGCACUGUUCCGACGCCGGGCCUAUCCUUCUGGUGAGUCGGCAUGUCCUUUGUUGGGUGUGUCGGGGAACCAGGACCAUUACCUUGAAAAAAUUAGAGUGUUCAAAGCAGGCGUAUGCUCGGAUACAUUAGCAUGGAAUAAUGAAAUAGGACGCGUGGUGCUAUUUUGUUGGUUUCUAGAACCGCCGUAAUGAUUAAUAGGGAUAGUUGGGGGCAUUAGUAUUCAAUUGUCAGAGGUGAAAUUCUUGGAUUUAUUGAAGACUAACUUCUGCGAAAGCAUUUGCCAAGGAUGUUUUCAUUAAUCAAGAACGAAAGUUAGGGGAUCGAAGACGAUCAGAUACCGUCGUAGUCUUAACCAUAAACUAUGCCGACUAGGAAUCGGGCGAUGUUAUUCUCAUGACUCGCCCGGCGCCUUAUGGGAAACCAAAGUGUUUGGGUUC
RNAcentral lists this ribosomal RNA (565 nucleotides) under uncultured Glomeromycotina. RNAcentral's name for it is "SSU rRNA". It matches the Rfam family "Eukaryotic small subunit ribosomal RNA", at positions 548 to 1114 of the family's 1831-position model. Lineage: Eukaryota; Fungi; Glomeromycota. The record is from RNAcentral.